GAUGAACGCUGGCGGCGUGCCUAAUACAUGCAAGUCGAGCGAACAGACGAGGAGCUUGCUCCUCUGACGUUAGCGGCGGACGGGUGAGUAACACGUGGAUAACCUAUCUAUAAGACUGGGAUAACUUCGGGAAACCGGAGCUAAUACCGGAUAAUAUAUUGAACCGCAUGGUUCAAUAGUGAAAGACGGUUUUGCUGUCACUUAUAGAUGGAUCCGCGCCGCAUUAGCUAGUUGGUAAGGUAACGGCUUACCAAGGCGACGAUGCGUAGGCGACCUGAGAGGGUGCUCGGCCACACUGGAACUGAGACACGGUCCAGACUCCUACGGGAGGCAGCAGUAGGGAAUCUUCCGCAAUGGGCGAAAGCCUGACGGAGCAACGCCGCGUGAGUGAUGAAGGUCUUCGGAUCGUAAAACUCUGUUAUUAGGGAAGAACAAAUGUGUAAGUAACUAUGCACGUCUUGACGGUACCUAAUCAGAAAGCCACGGCUAACUACGUG
RNAcentral lists this ribosomal RNA (497 nucleotides) under uncultured bacterium. RNAcentral describes it as "partial 16S ribosomal RNA". It matches the Rfam family "Bacterial small subunit ribosomal RNA", at positions 28 to 507 of the family's 1533-position model. The record is from RNAcentral.